UACGAAGGGGGCUAGCGUUGCUCGGAAUCACUGGGCGUAAAGGGUGCGUAGGCGGGUCUUUAAGUCAGUGGUGAAAUCCUGGAGCUCAACUCCAGAACUGCCUUUGAUACUGAGGAUCUUGAGUUCGGGAGAGGUGAGUGGAACUGCGAGUGUAGAGGUGAAAUUCGUAGAUAUUCGCAAGAACGCCAGUGGCGAAGGCGGCUCACUGGCCCGAUACUGACGCUGAGGCACGAAAGCGUGGGGAGCAAACAGG
This 253-nucleotide ribosomal RNA is filed under the name uncultured bacterium. Its description in RNAcentral is "partial 16S ribosomal RNA". It matches the Rfam family "Bacterial small subunit ribosomal RNA", at positions 524 to 776 of the family's 1533-position model. The record is from RNAcentral.